UUCAAUACAGUUCAAACAUUAACUCUGAUCAUCAUGCUGUCUUUGCUCACAUCUGGAUUUACUCUGCUGGUUCUGCUUAUAGGAACAGGUGUAAACUGUCAACAACUCACUGCAGCAAAGACUGAGGAGUUCACUUUAGAGGGCGACUCUGUUACUCUGUCCUGCAGUUACAAGAAAGAUUCAGCUCAUUUUUUGUUCUGGUAUCGACAAUAUCCUGGAAAACCUCCAGAGUUCCUGAAGUCCCACUCACCUUCAGGUGGAGAAGAACAUCUGGACAGAAUGAAAUUUGAAGGAACCAAAGAAGAAAUGAAGAUGACCAUCUCCUCUGCUGCAAUGGCAGACUCUGCUGUGUACUACUGUGCUCUGCAGCCCACAGUGACAGGAAACACCAGAACUCUGUACAAGAACCUGCAAUACUCCACAACAUCCACUAGAGGGCCUCACACGCUGUUAACCCACUGGAUGCUGAUUCAGUAGACUGAUGACAAAGACAACAGAGACAAGAAACAGUAAAGAUCAGAGACAGAGCUGCUGUGGGAGCAGAAAACUCUCUGAUUGGUUGGGUUUAGGCCACGCCCACUGAACUUUAGCUCAAUCAAUGCCAUUAUCUGUUCCUCCUUCUACUGAACAUUGUUCAUCUGCUGUGUGGCUUGAAGGACUCCAAAGACAUGUUGC
This is a non-coding RNA of Cyprinodon tularosa, 675 nucleotides long. The record is from the annotation of a RefSeq genome assembly. Lineage: Eukaryota; Metazoa; Chordata; Actinopteri; Cyprinodontiformes; Cyprinodontidae.